RNAcentral lists this ribosomal RNA (496 nucleotides) under uncultured bacterium. Its description in RNAcentral is "partial 16S ribosomal RNA". It matches the Rfam family "Bacterial small subunit ribosomal RNA", at positions 30 to 523 of the family's 1533-position model. The record is from RNAcentral.
AUUGAACGCUGGCGGAAUGCUUUACACAUGCAAGUCGAACGGUAGAGGGGGCAACCCCUCGAGAGUGGCGAACGGGUGAGUAAUAUAUCGGAACGUGCCCAGUCGUGGGGGAUAACGUAGCGAAAGUUACGCUAAUACCGCAUACGAUCUAAGGAUGAAAGCGGGGGAUCGCAAGACCUCGCGCGAUUGGAGCGGCCGAUAUCAGAUUAGGUAGUUGGUGGGGUAAAGGCUCACCAAGCCAACGAUCUGUAGCUGGUCUGAGAGGACGACCAGCCACACUGGAACGGAGAAACGGUCCAGACUCCUACGGGAGGCAGCAGUGGGGAAUUUUGGACAAUGGACGCAAGUCUGAUCCAGCCAUUCCGCGUGCAGGAUGAAGGCCCUCGGGUUGUAAACUGCUUUUGUACGGAACGAAAAGGUCUCUCUUAAUACGGGGGGCUCAUGACGGUACCGUAAGAAUAAGCACCGGCUAACUACGUGCCAGCCGCCGCGGUAA